AGUGUAGGCGGUUUGAAAAGUCGGGUGUGAAAGCCCAGGGCCCAACCCUGGAACUGCAUCCGAUACUGUCAGGCUAGAGUCCCGGAGAGGGUGGCGGAAUUCCCGGUGUAGGGGUGAAAUCCGUAGAUAUCGGGAGGAACACCAGUGGCGAAGGCGGCCACCUGGACGGUGACUGACGCUGAGACUCGAAAGCGUGGGUAGCAAACAGGAUUAGAUACCCUGGUAGUCC
Molecule: ribosomal RNA, 229 nt
Filed under: uncultured bacterium
Lineage: Bacteria
Description: partial 16S ribosomal RNA
Rfam family: Bacterial small subunit ribosomal RNA
Source: RNAcentral